AAAACGGCCCUUCUCAGGGCCAACAAAUCUAAUCGAAGUCUUUUUCU
RNAcentral lists this non-coding RNA (47 nucleotides) under Cinara cedri. It matches the Rfam family "Histone 3' UTR stem-loop". From Rfam's summary of the family: The mRNAs of metazoan histone genes lack a poly-A tail. The record is from RNAcentral. Lineage: Eukaryota; Metazoa; Arthropoda; Insecta; Hemiptera; Aphididae.